This 247-nucleotide ribosomal RNA is filed under the name uncultured bacterium. RNAcentral's name for it is "partial 16S ribosomal RNA". It matches the Rfam family "Bacterial small subunit ribosomal RNA", at positions 523 to 769 of the family's 1533-position model. The record is from RNAcentral.
AUACAGAGGGUGCAAGCGUUAAUCGGAAUUACUGGGCGUAAAGCGUGUGCAGGUGGUUGAAUAAGUUAGAUGUGAAAUCCCCGGGCUUAACCUGGGCACUGCGUUUAAGACUGUUUAGCUAGAGUACUGUAGAGGGCAGUGGAAUUUCCAGUGUAGCGGUGAAAUGCGUAGAUAUUGGAAGGAACACCAGUGGCGAAGGCGACUGCCUGGAUAGAUACUGACACUGAGACACGAAAGCGUGGGGAGC